AUACAGAGGGUGCAAGCGUUAAUCGGAAUUACUGGGCGUAAAGCGCGCGUAGGCGGUUUAAUCAGUCGGAUGUGAAAGCCCCGGGCUCAACCCGGGAACUGCAUUCGAUACUGUUAAGCUAGAGUAUGGUAGAGGGAAGUGGAAUUCCAGGUGUAGCGGUGAAAUGCGUAGAUAUCUGGAGGAACAUCAGUGGCGAAGGCGACUUCCUGGACCAAUACUGACGCUGAGGUGCGAAAGCGUGGGGAGCAAACAGGAUUAGAUACCCCAGUAGUCC
This 274-nucleotide ribosomal RNA is filed under the name uncultured bacterium. Its description in RNAcentral is "partial 16S ribosomal RNA". It matches the Rfam family "Bacterial small subunit ribosomal RNA", at positions 523 to 796 of the family's 1533-position model. The record is from RNAcentral.